UACGUAGGGGGCAAGCGUUAUCCGGAAUUACUGGGCGUAAAGGGUGCGUAGGUGGUUUCUUAAGUCAGAGGUGAAAGGCUACGGCUCAACCGUAGUAAGCCUUUGAAACUGGGAAACUUGAGUGCAGGAGAGGAGAGUGGAAUUCCUAGUGUAGCGGUGAAAUGCGUAGAUAUUAGGAGGAACACCAGUUGCGAAGGCGGCUCUCUGGACUGUAACUGACACUGAGGCACGAAAGCGUGGGGAGCAAACAGG
Molecule: ribosomal RNA, 252 nt
Filed under: uncultured bacterium
Lineage: Bacteria
Description: partial 16S ribosomal RNA
Rfam family: Bacterial small subunit ribosomal RNA
Source: RNAcentral